This 826-nucleotide long non-coding RNA is filed under the name Oryza sativa Indica Group (long-grained rice). RNAcentral describes it as "lncRNA OsMH63_06G026550". The record is from RNAcentral. Lineage: Eukaryota; Viridiplantae; Streptophyta; Magnoliopsida; Poales; Poaceae.
AUGGCCACAAUCCUUUUCGUCGGCGUUCUCCUGAUGAGCUGCUGCUUCGUGCUUAUUUCCUCUGCAUCUGGCAAUGGAACGAUCAGGCCGAUCUUUUCGAUGAACCAAGCGAGAAAAUGUGGUGCAAUUGGAGGAACAGCGCGCUGCAAAGAGAUCGUUGACGGAUACAUUAUUGAAGACGGCAGUAUCUUUCAGUCAGCUGGGUAUAUAACAAAAACAUAUGAGGCACACUAUGGAUUUAUAGCAACAAUGGACGUUUACGGCUUCCCUCUUAGCCCGGGCCAAAUUGUCAGUUAUGGUUCAGCUUGGAUCAUAACUGAUAAUGUUGAUGAUCCAGUAUCGAAUUUAGAAGUCAUUCAGAUCGGUUGGAGGGUCGAGCCAGGUGAUAAACGCCUGUUUUCGACCUCUAUUGCAAUGGAUCCUGAUCUCAUUGGUCGCAUUCCCAUGUCGUACUACAGUACACUAUCUAACUCAGCAACUAACAUCUGGUUUGGAGGCAUGGUGGCUACAAAUGCUACAUUUCAACCGACUCCUCCGCUUCCGAUGGGCAGCGGUUACAUGCCAGCUGACAACGGUAACAUGGCAGCGUCCAUGAAGAACAUUCAACUCAUCGAUGAGCAAGGGCGAGCCUGGUCAGCAGGAAAUGGUUUAGUUGGCUUCUCCACCAAGAAGGAUGUCUACACCUUUACUCCUAUUGUUGGCGAUCAGUUUUUCUACGGGGGCCCCUUCCAGCUCACAAGCUCAGGAACCAUGUUGCGCGCUAAUGUCGUUUACCCUCUUCUACUAGUGUUGUUUUUUUAUUAUCUUUUCUCAUAGCUACCUUUGG